RNAcentral lists this ribosomal RNA (486 nucleotides) under uncultured bacterium. Its description in RNAcentral is "bacterial SSU rRNA". It matches the Rfam family "Bacterial small subunit ribosomal RNA", at positions 28 to 507 of the family's 1533-position model. The record is from RNAcentral.
GAUGAACGCUAGCUACAGGCUUAACACAUGCAAGUCGAGGGGCAUCACAGUGUAGCAAUACACGGGUGGCGACCGGCGCACGGGUGCGUAACACGUAUCCAAUCUGCCCGUUACUCGGGGAUAGCCUUCUGAAAGGAAGAUUAAUACCCGAUGGCAUGUAUUUCCGGCAUCGGAGAUACAUUAAAGAUUUAUCGGUAACGGAUGAGGAUGCGUACGAUUAGCUGGUUGGCGGGGUAACGGCCCACCAAGGCUACGAUCGUUAGGGGUUCUGAGAGGAAGGUCCCCCACACUGGAACUGAGACACGGUCCAGACUCCUACGGGAGGCAGCAGUGAGGAAUAUUGGUCAAUGGUCGAGAGACUGAACCAGCCAAGUAGCGUGAAGGAUGACUGCCCUACGGGUUGUAAACUUCUUUUGUUUGGGAAUAAAUGAUACUACGUGUAGUAUUUUGCAUGUACCUUACGAAUAAGCAUCGGCUAAUUCCGUG